This 857-nucleotide long non-coding RNA is filed under the name Homo sapiens (human). RNAcentral's name for it is "HSALNT0042169". The record is from RNAcentral. Lineage: Eukaryota; Metazoa; Chordata; Mammalia; Primates; Hominidae.
GCGUCAUCUGAUUUCAAUGAGAAACUGGCCCAGGGAGUCACACGUUCUCGGCACAGCUUCUAAAGGAAAAUUGAUGCAUCUAUAAAAUGUUGAAUCAGCACAGUCACUCGGUGAAAAAUGCAGAUUUGGAAACAAAGCAGGAAGAAGAUGCCAGAAAACCCUGGCAAGGCUCUGACCACUGCCUGCUUAGGAAUGGCCGCAGAGGGAGAGAAAUGUGUUUGCAAUUAGGACGACCCAGAGCAGGUCCGAUUACAUCUGCACGCAGCCACGCUGAAGAGAUUUCCAGAGUGAACUUAUCGUGUGGGCCUAAGUGGAUAAAAGGCAACUUAGGCUGGAGCCAUUACAAGAAAAUAAAUGGGGCCUCCCGCCUUCCACUCUCGAGCUGCCCUUGUUGGGCUCACUCUUACCUCUUGAAUUAAGAGGUACAAAAUCACCAUGAUUUGGGGCCCUCUUACAUUAUAGUUUACAAGAUUUUCAUGCAUUUUUCAGCAAUGGACCAAAAAAAGGGGAAAUAAAACAAGUGUUGUGAAGUGGUUUCCAUGCUGCAUGCUGACUCUGAUUUUCGGAAUGACCUGUGGAUGUUAAAGAGAUUGCAGCAAGACCCUGAAGCAGCCCAGUGGUUAUCCCACCUCUCUCCUUCCGGGGACAGUACUCACAUUUUGCUUCCAGGCUCUUAACACACCCACCAUUGACUCUCUCCAAUAAUCCCUGGCAAGACAAUUAGCUUAACCCACUUUUAAAGACAAAGCAAGGAGUUCUUGGUAAAGAAUUACAGAAAUUAAGGUUUCUCUCCCUUGCCACAAUGUUCUAACACAAAAAUGCUUCCAUCAAACUAGCUGCCACUCCCUUGAUUAAAG